This is a long non-coding RNA of Gallus gallus (chicken), 1943 nucleotides long. The record is from Ensembl. Lineage: Eukaryota; Metazoa; Chordata; Aves; Galliformes; Phasianidae.
GUCAGCAGCAGAGAUCUGUGGCACGCCACCCCGCUGCCAAGCUGAUACCCAGAAAGCCACGGAGCAAUCUUCCUCUUUGUUUUACAAAUAGGUACAGCCUUUUGAAGCAGGAUCGGUUGUAACAUAUUUAUUGCAAGAAUGAAAGACAAAAACCAGAAGUCUUUGCCAAGAGCAAGUGAAAUGGGCAUGCCUUUCAAACAGCUACCACAGGACCGAUUACCUUUCCAAGUAAUUAAACAUUGUGAAAGGUUAUUAACGUGCUGAUAAUAGACAGCUUUGCAAACUGCCAGCACAGCACGAUCUAGCAGACGGCGCUCAGCAGAGAGCUGGAGCCCUCGCUCCCUGGGGGGCUUGGCAGAGCCCCAGCACCCCGAGAGCUGCAUGUAACUCAGUCAGGCCGGGCUGGACGCAGCCACCCCAGACCCACGUCUGAACGGUGGCAGGGCUCUCCCUUGCUGGCAGAGGAGCAGGGAAAGGUGGUCUCUGGGCAUCCUCCCAGUGCUCCCCCCAGGCAAAGCAGCAGGUGUCUGCCAAAGCCCGGGCCUGCCCAUGCAGGUUACCAACUAUUGUUUCUCUUCAAACCAACUUGCGUCCACAAACAACCUCUCCUGAUGUGAAUUCUCUGGUAUUUUAGCGUGUGUUAUUAAACCCGCUUGGAAAGCGGGCUGAGCUGUAGGGUGGGUUUGUGGCAACCAAGCAGGUGGGGAUGUAUGCGGGGAUGCAGAUAGGGAUGCAAGUAAGGAUGCGGGAUGCGGGAAGGAAUGCAGGCGAGGAUACAGACAGGGGUGUAAGAUGCAGGCAGGGAUGCAGGAUGCAGGCAGGAUGCAGCUGGGGAUGCAGGACACGGGCAGGGGUGCAAGCAGGAUGCAGGUGGGGAUGUGGGAUGCAGGCAGGACGCAGGCAGCACAGAGCCGGUGCCUUUAGUGAGUGCUGCGGCUGCUGAGCCAAGGAGGAGUGGAGGGAAAGGGAGAGGCGACAAGAGUGUUUUGUCUGCAUCAACUCCUGGGCAGGGGGAAGGUGCGUGGGUAAACAGCGGUGCCGCUGACUCCAGCAUGGAGCUGCCUGACAGGGACAGCCCUUGUCCAAAGCAGCCACCUCCUGGUCAUCCCCUCAGACCACAGACGGAACAGCUCCGCUCUCCACAUUUCCAUACAUAGCAGCGAGGGGAAGAAGGCGACGGAAAAGCGCGGGUUGUGGUGGAAAGAUGGAAUAACAUCCUGGGCGAGAGCAUCCUUGGAACUCUCAGAGCUGCCUGGCACCAGGCGCGCUCAGGAUGUUUUGCUGCGCUCGGUGUUGUCGGUGUCACAACUCCGCAUCGCUUUAAAGGAACUUCAGCUGCCUUUGCACGUGGCUCGGGUGCACCCCGAGCUUCCAGGCCACCCCCUGCUCCCCACAACGCCGGGAGCCGGGCGGGAGGGUCACUAUGGGACCCCCUGACAAAGGGGCAUCCGAGGAAUACCGCACAGCGACAGUCUCCGCCUCCCGUCCCGGAGCUGUGCGGCGGGCUGACGGCCGCCGGAGGGCCAUCGUUGCCGCAGCACGCGGGGGAGCUCACGCGUUCCCGCCGUCGCUCUCACGUCGGGCCCCGGGGCCGCUCUCCGUUUGCCCGGGGUUGGGGCAGGGACGGGCCGGGCACAGGACAAGCCCUCGCUUGUUCCGUUGGGCGCGGGGAGCGCCGUUGCACAACGGAAUUCGUAUCUUACGUGUUUAGGGGACGGUGCGCGGCUGCGGCGGAACCCGCGGGUCGCCGAACGCCCGGUGCCGGUGGGCGCGCGGCGUUGGAGGGCGCUGCCCCUUUAAAUCGCGGCGGCGCGGAGCAGGGAAUCCCUCUCGCGGCGCGUCAUCCGCGGCGAGGAAACCCGCGCUGGCGUAGUGCGACGCAAAUGCCCAUUUUUGGCAACGUGCGCCAGUGGACGGCACCAAGAGGCUCCGGCCGGGCGGGG